AAAUAUUGUAGUUAAUUAGUUAUAUCAUUAGCUAUAUAUUGUUUGUUUUUCAUUUAAUCAAUAAUCGUGUAAAUCGUGAAACCGUGAUAUUUCCUCUGGCUCUGCGCCAAAAUUUCAUAUCGUGACAUCCAUAGUAUGUAGAGACUGUAUUUAACAGAAUUGAAGAAACUGUAUUUAAAUGUACUGGUGGUUAAAUCAAUGAUUUGUUGGUCUGGUUCAUCAACAUUUAAUUCAAAGUGAGUGUGGGACUGUGUUUUUAACUGUUAUAUGUUUGUUCGUGUCUUUCAGGUGCCAGACCACGAGAAAUUGUUUGAGGACCUCCUUGAGGAAAAGCAGAAUUUGGAUUCUAAGAAUAUGCAUCUGGCUCAUGAAAAUGCCAGUCUGAAGAUCGCCAUGUCCUGCAAAGAAGCUUCAUGGAAAAAGGAAAAGGAGAGCAUGCAGAAUGCAGAUUAUGAAAAACUCAAGGAAGAACUACAGCUCGACCUUAAGGAUGCCAAGAAAGAGUUGAGGCUCCAAGAGAAGGACUACAGGUCCUUGAGUACUCGUUGUCAAAGCCAGCAGGCAGAGAUCCACAAGAUCAGACGUGACCUAAAGCAAAGGUGCAACCACGUCAAUGAGCUGGAGUACUCCAUUAAACAGAGGGAACAGGUGAUCGACAGGACAGUGCAUGAGAAAAUGGCACUGGAAGAGGAAAUCAAUGAGCUCACAACCAAGCUCAAAGCUAUGGGGACAAAAGUUCUCCAGAACGAGCCUGACUGGCAGUCAGAAAUCAACGCUCUGAAGCACGAGCUCAGCCGUGAGCAGGCAGAGAAGGAGGCUGGCUCCAGUAGAAUCAAGGAGCUGGAGAGACAGCUCAAGGUCACAGAAGAGAAGUGGGUGACCAAACAUGAGGCCAGAAUUGUCCAAACGGAUCAGCUGAUCAACAGUCUCACCAGUCAAAAUAAGGCACUGGAAGCCAGCAACAAGAAACUCCUGUCCAUGCAGCAAGCCAUGGAGGCAAGGAUCCUCCAGAACAAGACUGAGUGGGAGACGAAAGUUAACACUCUGGAGGACCAUGUCAGUAGUGAGCAGGCUGAGAAGGAGGCUGGCUUCACAAAAAUCAAGGAGCUGGAGAAACUGGUCAGCAAUACUGAGCAGAUGUGGGCGGCCAAGCAUGAGGCAGACAUAAAGCUGCUCAUUCUGAAACAGAUCAAGCUUCAGGUAAGUCACAUCAGCUCUGUUUGAUCUGAAUAAGAACUUGUUGCACUUUAAGUUUGUUUCUUAUUCAGACUUUUGAAAGAGAAAAUAUCUAAACACUUGUCGUCUCUGUCUUUUCAGGAACUGGCCUUGAUGACUGAUAAGGACAAGGCAAGGAUUCAAAAGGAGCAAAAGAAAGCAAAGAAAGAGGCAGAGAAGAGGCAAAAGAAGGAGCUGCAAGAGAAGAAGAGGCAGGAGCAGAGAGACAAACUAGACAGAGAGAAGGAGGAGAAGCGGCAAAGGAAAUGAAGAAAAUAUUUACAUUUAGGGCAUUUAGCAGAUGCUUUUGUCCAAAGCAACUUACAAUAAGUACAUUUGUCACAAGAGAGAAACCAUUCUUAAAAAAAUAAAGACAUUUGAAAUUGAAUCAAUCAUCUCUUGUUUCUUCCUCAAUACACCCUGGUGUUCAUUUUGUAAGUCAUGGUUCCAUAUAGAGUCAAAUAUAUGAUGUGUAUAUGAUGUGAUUGAAAGCUAGUAAUGUCCAAUGGGUGCAGGUCGAGGAGGGCAUGCAGUGUCCUCGAGCUCUCAGUCAGGCUCCACCCCUCGCUCCUACUAAUGUGGUCACUUCUGAUUUUAAAAAACAAGAUGUAUUUUCAGACUUUCAUUCUUCACAUUUUAGAUUCACAUCUAAAAAGAAAUGAUUGUAGGGCUCAUAUCAUGGAAAACUGUUUGUUUAAUAUCACAUUUAACUGACAGUGUCUGUGAUGUCCCAUGUGACAGUGUCUGUGAUGUCCCAUG
This 1974-nucleotide unclassified non-coding RNA is filed under the name Hevea brasiliensis (rubber tree). The record is from RNAcentral. Lineage: Eukaryota; Viridiplantae; Streptophyta; Magnoliopsida; Malpighiales; Euphorbiaceae.